RNAcentral lists this small nucleolar RNA (140 nucleotides) under Jaculus jaculus (lesser Egyptian jerboa). RNAcentral describes it as "Small nucleolar RNA SNORA42/SNORA80 family (ENSJJAG00000004806.1)". It matches the Rfam family "Small nucleolar RNA SNORA42/SNORA80 family". From Rfam's summary of the family: The members of this family belong to the H/ACA class of snoRNAs that guide the sites of modification of uridines to pseudouridines. Human ACA42 (SNORA42) was cloned from HeLa cells by immunoprecipitation with anti-GAR1 antibody. Its is predicted to guide the pseudouridylation of residues U109 and U572 of 18S rRNA. The record is from Rfam by way of RNAcentral. Lineage: Eukaryota; Metazoa; Chordata; Mammalia; Rodentia; Dipodidae.
GCAUGGAUUUGGAUUUAUGACAGGCCCGUACCCCUGGUCCUGUCAUAGUGUCCCAUGCCAAACUGUGAGCAAACUAUGGCCCUGAACCAGUUCCUGGCCUCUCCCUAUAGGCUCCUGGCACUGCAGUGAGUUGCAUAUUG